RNAcentral lists this ribosomal RNA (498 nucleotides) under uncultured bacterium. RNAcentral's name for it is "partial 16S ribosomal RNA". It matches the Rfam family "Bacterial small subunit ribosomal RNA", at positions 30 to 523 of the family's 1533-position model. The record is from RNAcentral.
AUUGAACGCUGGCGGCAUGCCUUACACAUGCAAGUCGAACGGUAACAGGUCUUCGGAUGCUGACGAGUGGCGAACGGGUGAGUAAUACAUCGGAACGUGCCUAGUAGUGGGGGAUAACUACUCGAAAGAGUGGCUAAUACCGCAUGAGAUCUACGGAUGAAAGCAGGGGAUCGCAAGACCUUGUGCUACUAGAGCGGCCGAUGGCAGAUUAGGUAGUUGGUGGGAUAAAAGCUUACCAAGCCGACGAUCUGUAGCUGGUCUGAGAGGACGAUCAGCCACAUUGGGACUGAGACACGGCCCAGACUCCUACGGGAGGCAGCAGUGGGGAAUUUUGGACAAUGGGCGAAAGCCUGAUCCAGCAAUGCCGCGUGCAGGAUGAAGGCCUUCGGGUUGUAAACUGCUUUUGUACGGAACGAAAAGCCCCGGGUUAAUACCCUGAGGUCAUGACGGUACCGUAAGAAUAAGCACCGGCUAACUACGUGCCAGCCGCCGCGGUAA